RNAcentral lists this ribosomal RNA (226 nucleotides) under uncultured bacterium. RNAcentral's name for it is "partial 16S ribosomal RNA". It matches the Rfam family "Bacterial small subunit ribosomal RNA", at positions 29 to 233 of the family's 1533-position model. The record is from RNAcentral.
AACGAACGCUGGCGGCGUGGAUAAGACAUGCAAGUCGAGCGAUUACUAUUGGGUAGCAAUAUCUGGUAGUGAGAGCGGCGCAAGGGUGCGUAACAAGUGGGCAAUCUGCCGUGAAGUUUGGGAUAAUCCCGCGAAAGCGGGACUAAUACCGGAUGUGACAACUGGGAGGCAUCUUUUGGUUGUCAAAGUUGGGGACCGCAAGGCCUGACGCUUCACGAUGAGCCCG